RNAcentral lists this ribosomal RNA (484 nucleotides) under uncultured bacterium. RNAcentral describes it as "bacterial SSU rRNA". It matches the Rfam family "Bacterial small subunit ribosomal RNA", at positions 29 to 490 of the family's 1533-position model. The record is from RNAcentral.
AAUCAACGCUGGCGGCGUGCCUAAUACAUGCAAGUCGGACGCGAAAGUCCCACAAGGGAUGAGUAGAGUGGCAAACGGGUGAGUAACACGUGGGUGACCUGCCUUCGAGUGGGGGAUAACGUCCCGAAAGGGACGCUAAUACCGCAUAACAUCCUGCCUUUUAAGAGGCGGAGAUCAAAGCUGGGGAUCGCAAGACCUAGCGCUGGAAGAGGGGCCCGCGUCCGAUUAGCUAGUUGGNGAGGUAACGGCUCACCAAGGCAACGAUCGGUAGCCGGCCUGAGAGGGCGGACGGCCACACUGGGACUGAGACACGGCCCAGACUCCUACGGGAGGCAGCAGUAGGGAAUUGUUCGCAAUGGGCGCAAGCCUGACGACGCAACGCCGCGUGGAGGAUGAAGAUUUUCGGAUCGUAAACUCCUUUCGAUCGAGACGAAUGGCCGUCCGGGUGAAUACCCCGGAGGAAUGACGGUACCGAGAGAAGAAG